Molecule: ribosomal RNA, 416 nt
Filed under: Peltodoris nobilis
Lineage: Eukaryota; Metazoa; Mollusca; Gastropoda; Nudibranchia; Discodorididae
Description: SSU rRNA
Rfam family: Eukaryotic small subunit ribosomal RNA
Source: RNAcentral
AUAACUGUGGCAAUUCCAGAGCUAAUACGUGCACUCAAGCCCCGACCUCCGCGAGGGGGAAGNNNGCUUUUAUUAGUUCAAAACCGGUGCGCGUCCCUUCGGCGGCGCGCCCUCCCCCUUGAUGACUCUGGAUAACUUUGAGCUGAUCGCACGGCCNNUGUGCCGGCGACGCAUCUUUCAAAUGUCUGCCCUAUCAAAUGUCGACGGUACGUGACAUGCCUACCGUGUUGGCGACGGGUAACGGGGAAUCAGGGUUCGAUUCCGGANAGGGAGCACGAGAAACGGCUACCACAUCCAAGGAAGGCAGCAGGCGCNCNACUUACCCACUCCCGGCACGGGGAGGUAGUGACGAAAAAUAACAAUACGGGACUCUUCAUCAGGCCCCGUAAUUGGAAUGAGCACAGUUCUAAACCCUU